This is a long non-coding RNA of Saccostrea echinata, 678 nucleotides long. RefSeq lists it as uncharacterized. Lineage: Eukaryota; Metazoa; Mollusca; Bivalvia; Ostreida; Ostreidae. The transcript has 3 exons. The record is from RefSeq and is a predicted model, not a curated record.
ACUUGGCACACAAGUAGACAACACUAAGCUACAUAAUUCUGUAUAUCUGUUUUGGAUUUUGAUCAACAGUGUUGCCAUGGUUACAAAAAACAAAAAAUAGAAAUUUCUGUAAAAUACUUUCAAAAUGCUACUUCUCCUACAGUAUUGGUUUAAAUACAGUAUAACUUGGCACACAAGUAGACAACACUAUGAUACUUAAUUCUAUUUAUUGCUGUUACAAAGUUUCAAUCCAAGUAUUACUUUUCUCUUCCUUUGUUAUAAGUACAACCCAGUAGAGCGACUGUGAGUCUCAUCAGAGACUUCUGGUUUUUGAGCAUCUUUUUUCUAGGAAGACUAAGUUUCUAGGAAGAUAUUGACCUUAAGUUGAGUUGACGCUUUUUCUCUUUGAAGAUUAAAGAUUUGGGGACAAUCAAGAAUUAAAGUGGCUGAAGUCAUGGAGACCCAAUCUCAGUUCACAGGGAAUACCACGGACUGCAAGGAAGGACAUUGGAACUGGCUUAUGUAUUCCAAUUUUGAUUGCAGUUGAUGAAAGAUGUCGUACUUAGGGAAACAUUAGAUGAAAUUACUUUGAAAUACCCCUAGUUUGUCAACUUCUAGCCAAGAUCCUACAGGUUAGUUGAAUUGGAGAACAGAUGUACACACAGUAGAAAGGAUAUUACCUGAAAACAUCAAAUGACG